GACGAACGCUGGCGGCGUGCCUAAUACAUGCAAGUCGAACGCAUUUUCUUUCACCGUAGCUUGCUACACCGAAAGAAAAUGAGUGGCGAACGGGUGAGUAACACGUGGGUAACCUGCCCAUCAGCGGGGGAUAACACUUGGAAACAGGUGCUAAUACCGCAUAAUUCCAUUUACUGCAUGGUAGAUGGAUGAAAGGCGCUUUUGCGUCACUGAUGGAUGGACCCGCGGUGCAUUAGCUAGUUGGUGGGGUAACGGCCUACCAAGGCUGCGAUGCAUAGCCGACCUGAGAGGGUGAUCGGCCACACUGGGACUGAGACACGGCCCAGACUCCUACGGGAGGCAGCAGUAGGGAAGCUUCGGCAAUGGACGCAAGUCUGACCGAGCAACGCCGCGUGAGUGAAGAAGGUUUUCGGAUCGUAAAACUCUGUUGUUAGAAAAGAACAAGGAUGAGAGUGGAAAGUUCAUCCCUUGACGGUAUCUAACCAGAAAGCCACGGCUAACUACGUG
Molecule: ribosomal RNA, 507 nt
Filed under: uncultured bacterium
Lineage: Bacteria
Description: partial 16S ribosomal RNA
Rfam family: Bacterial small subunit ribosomal RNA
Source: RNAcentral